Molecule: long non-coding RNA, 2148 nt
Organism: Dryobates pubescens (Downy woodpecker)
Lineage: Eukaryota; Metazoa; Chordata; Aves; Piciformes; Picidae
Exons: 5
Source: RefSeq, a predicted model, not a curated record
AAAAAACAAGGUGCAGAGUCCAGGAGCCACGUUCCCUUCGGUGUGCCUGGCCCUGGCACGGCUGGCACGGGCUCCCUGGAAAGCUGCAGUUCCGCUCUUAUAACACAGGGAGCAGGCUGGAGAAUUUAGAGCUGCGUCACAGAGCUCAGCGAGAGAGUGAGAGAGAGCAAGCUCCGUCGAUAGGUUCUACCAGCAACAGCCCUGCUGCAGCAGGAAGGGGAGAGAGGCAGCAAGAGAGGCAGAGAGGGCUCCGGCGAGAGAAGUCACACCAAGACCAGGGGACCGGGCUGCUGCCACCAGCCACCGUCGGCGGGAGGUGGGAGCGGGGCUCGCCCGGCGUAGGAGGUUGCACCCAUUUGGCGAUGCUGGAGACCCGGCGCGUUUAAUCCCACGGGGAGGGAGAGUGGGCAGACGCCGCAAGGGUUAACGGCAAGGAAAUUUCUGGAACCUUCUCUUCUGCGGCGCCAGCCGGCGAGCGGAGGGCUGAGGACUGCGCAGCUGGGGCACGGGCAGAGCUCUCCGGUCCGGUUCGGCUUCCCCACCGACCAGCAAUGAAGAUGGCAGCUCUGCCUGGAAGUGCCGAGGACACAACCAGCUUUGAGCUUGGUCCUUCUUGGCCGAGGAAGUCUCUUCCCGAUUAAGCAGUGGAGUGAUUCCGUAGGGAAUUUCAGACUCUCACUGCAGUCGUCACAACCCCUCCUGACUCACUGAGCCUCGCUGGCUGGAGCUGGCUCCCUUGGAGCAUCCUUGCCUCCUGCAGCGCCAGUUCCGCAGAGCAGGGGAACAACAGGAAUAGCAGCAACACCGGUGGGCCCUGCAGCAAGAUGGACAGGCAUAAACACACACACACACAGAGGAACAGUGCGAGGCAGCCAUGGAGGGGGUGAUACAGCUGACAGAGCAACUUCCAUCAUGACAGGCAGAUUUCCCUGCUGAUGCUGAGUGAUGGGAAGCCACAACACCCUCUGCCUUGGACAGAAUGAGGUUUAGAGCUUGGCUCCAUCUGCCAUGACAUGGAAAAAAGUGCUCCUGUACCACACAGCCUUCCCCUCCCCCUCUCUCAUCAUCCUCUGCACUAAAGAGAAGUCACAGACCUGUGUCACUACUUGCUGGUACGGUGGAGGUGAAGGAUUUUCUCUCCCAGCCUGCAGCCAUGCACACAAGAUGUGUCUUCCUCUGGAAGCUGGUUUCACAUGGUGGCUUAGAUUUUCCCACUUUGUAUCUAGCACCAUUUGAAAUCAGUGUUCUAGGAGCAAGAAUUACAGCGUGGGAGGAGAUCAAGCAGCUGCCAACCUCACCGACGGCCUCCACUCCUUACCCCCAGCCCUUUCCCCCCCCAGUGGUUAUUCCUUUGCCAGCCAGCCACUCUGUAAACAUCACCUGAUUUCUAGACACUUCUACCAAGCACUGUAAUCACCCUCUUCCCCAAGCUAGGGCCAGCCACAGGAACAGCUUCUUGCCAAUGUAUUGCUGCUCAAUAAACAAUGGAUAUUGAGUUCAAGGUGUCCAGAGUUAAAGUGAUCCGAAAGUUGCAUGAAAACCCAACCCUGUGCCUCCUGACAGGCAGAGUGCACUCAGCACACAGCCACCAGCUUCCCAACACUUCCAAAUGAACUACCUGGGAGCAGAUCUAUUUCUCUUUGGGGGCUCUAUCACCCUCACAGAACCACCACCCCACAGCUCCCAGAGAUGAGAAGCUGCCCUCCAAAGCACCUCAAGAGAAGCGCCUUCAGCGGUCACCACGAUGUGCCCCCUGCUCCACACAGAACCCACUCCUCCUCCUGGGGGGGACUUCAGUUUCUUUGCUGGUAACUUCUUUAACGUUUCAGGAAGUUCCUCUUCCCUUCUGUGCAAACCCUUGAAGCUAACCUAGUUUUGCUUGAGCUCACUGCUGUCAAACAAGUCCUCAGGCACAGAGGAGCCGGUCGCUGUGUGGACGAAGGCCUUGGCCAGAGCACUGCAGAGUCAUCUGUACAGAAUUCCUAGCUGCCAUCUACAAGAGGACUCUUCUCUGAGCCAGGAAAAUGUCUCUUACACAGGCUGACCGAUUUCUCCUGGUGUUCAGAGUCUCAGUUUUUGUCUAGCACCAUUUGAAAUCGGUUAUGAUGUAGGGGGAAAAGCAACAGUAAUGGAAACCUUCCUCCCCCC